GGGGGGGGGCAAGCGUUGUUCGGAAUUACUGGGCGUAAAGGGCUCGUAGGUGGCCAACUAAGUCAGACGUGAAAUCCCCAGGCUUAACCUGGGAACUGCGUCUGAUACUGGAUGGCUUGAAUUCGGGAGAGGGAUGCAGAAUUCCAGGUGUAGCGGUGAAAUGCGUAGAUAUCUGGAGGAAUACCGGUGGCGAAGGCGGCAUCCUGGACCGAGAUUGACACUGAGGAGCGAAAGCCAGGGGAGCAAACGGGAUUAGAUACCCCGGUAGUCCUGGCCCUAAACGAUGAAUGCUAGGUGUGACGGAUAUCGAUCCCUGUCGUGCCGAAGCUAACGCAUUAAGCAUUCCGCCUGGGGAGUACGGUCGCAAGGCUG
Molecule: ribosomal RNA, 372 nt
Filed under: uncultured bacterium
Lineage: Bacteria
Description: bacterial SSU rRNA
Rfam family: Bacterial small subunit ribosomal RNA
Source: RNAcentral